UAAGAAUCUUUAGCAGUAAAACCUUUGCUUUAUUGAGACAAUUAGUGCUGGUUAGCUGGGGCUGAAAUUAAUAAGAGACCAGCAUCACUGAGGCGAAACCUUUUAGGAAGUUAUUUUCUCAGGAUCAGCACACAGAAGUUGUGGUCUGGCGGGGCUAAGCCUGCACCCCAAUUGGCAGUGGACUUGGUAGUGUUUACAACUCUCCCACGCGGUGCUGGGUUUGAAGGCAUGAGGGGGUCAUUGAGAACAGCUGAAGCUUCGCUUGGAUCGGGAGGGCCAGGGUCCCUGAAGAGAAGCCAGGAGGCCAUUGGUGAAGGUGCAGCCUCAGUUCUAGUGGAGACUAGCGUAUUGCAGAUACCAGUACUAUGGGACAACCACCAAGGACAGGGGCAGGUGUGGUUUGGCGCUGACCUGAGUCCACCAGAUAAACUGUGUGCGUUGGAUGGCAAAGUUGGAAGGGUGGGUCUCCUCAGGAUAUUUGGAGCUCAGAAAAUCUUGAGUGAGACUAUGUAGACCAGGCUGGCCUCAGACUCAGAGACGUCUUCUUGCUCCUGCCUCCUGAGUGCGGGCAUUAAAGGUGUGUGCCACCACACCCUACUGGACUGUGUUUUACACUGCGAUAGUAAUACAAAAUCUUUUUUUUUUUUUUUUUUUUUUUUGGUUAUUUGAGACAGGGUUUCUCUGCAGCUGUAGAGCCUGUCCUGGAGCUAGCUCUUGUAGACCAGGCUAGUCUCGAACUCACAGAGAUCCGCCUGCCUCUGCCUCCCGAGUGCUGGGAUUAAAGGUGUGCGCCACCACCGCCCGGCAGUAAUACGAAAUCUUAUGGACAAGUUCUGGUUUAAUAGUGAUGUGUUAUGUGGAAAGAAACAGGAGGGAUUAUGUCAAAAAAGUAAUAGAAUUGACUUCCAAAAAGUUGUCCCCUGGCCUCUAUUGGUGGGGGUGUGGGUGCACACACAAUCUUUUUUAAAACAAAACAAAACAAAACAAAAUUGUUAAUUGUCAAUAAAAAUUCAGUGAAAUGGUUUGGUUCCCAGUGACUCCGAGUAAACCAAGUUCCCUGCAUCUUCGGAGCCUCGGCUCCUAUUGGUUGUUCUCCUUCAAUUCUCCAAUGACACAGACCUAUGUGGCUUCUCCUUUGGUCAAGCCUUUGCGCAAAUCUAACACCCUCAGCAAACCCCUUCGUCAUCUACUCCAAUGGUACCCUGCUGUCCUGCCCCUCUCUUCACUCCUCUGCAACGUUUUCUUCAUUGUGUCGCUCCCAUCCUGGCAUGUUAUUACAUAGCUUUUUUAUUACCUGCAUCUUCCCCCAUGAAAGCAAGGACUUUCUUCGUUACUGCUGUAAUCCCAGCCCCUAGCACAGGCCCUACCCUCUGUUAGUACAUGCUAAUGAAGAAAAGGGACUGGACAGCUUGGGAGAGCAAGGGCUGAAGGUGCAUUCUGGACUUCGCGUCUGCAGCUCCGUGCUGCUGUGGCUGUUCCGGGAAGGCUGGCGCACCGCCUGUGAAGUGCUCUGCUCUCCAGAAAGCUUCCUCUUGCUCACCGGUCCUCACAGUUAAAUGCAGGAGCAAGCAGUGCUGGCUUUGAACCUGCAGACCUGCUCCCGCCAUCUGGCUUCUGUGUCUCCCAUGGGGUCAGAAUUCCUGGGAAGCUUCUGCACAUGAGCCUUCCAGGCACUCACGUUUUGGUGGGCCUGGUUUUAAUAAGUGCCCUCCAUUCCCAGUAACCAUACUUAGGCAACUGUACAGUGGUCGGGAUCUACCUGGUCUGGGUGAGUGUGGGAAUGAAGAAUACCAAAACAACGUGCUUGCUCACAGCUGUCCCUGACUCAGUCUUCAGAAUUCUCACUUCUCUGCCCCAGUUCCAUGACGCACAACUAGUUGUCUUUGCUGUGCCUGGUUCUGGGGUUCCCCCCUCCCACGUGUCUAUGGACAAAUGCAUGCUCCUAACCCUUGCUCUGCUGCUGUGAAUUGCUCAUGCCAAUGAUGAUUGCAUGGUGAAGAAGGAGCCCUAUAGAAGUUGGUGGGGAUGCUUUUGACUGUGAAAGUUGGGUGAUGUGAUGUUUAAUUAAUUAAUUAAUUAAUUAAUUAAUUUUUUUUCCCUAGAUAGAGUCUCUCUGUGUAGAUCUGACUGUCCUGGAACUCACUGUAGUCCAGGCUGGCCUUGAACUCUGAGAUCCCCUUGCCUCUGCCUCCUGAGUACUGAGAUUAAAGAAAGGCAUUGCUCCACCGUGCUGGAUUUAGUGACUUUAAAUUCUUAACAUCACGCAGUAUAUGAUUGUGUAGUUUCAGUCUCUUUGGACCUCCACUUACCGACAUGUAAAAUGGGUUGGGAAUGGUUGCUGUGUGUGUGCUGAAGACAGGGUGGAUGGAGGAAUGUUGCAUGUAGCAAAAGGACAGAUGGAGAAGACAGGCUUUAUGGGAAACUUUUAAAAGUUUUGAAACUGCUGGGGUCUAAUGGAAGCUGACCACCUGCCAUGAAGAUGAAAGCUGCUCUCUCAAAUACAAAAGGAAAAAUUA
This is a long non-coding RNA of Arvicola amphibius (Eurasian water vole), 2516 nucleotides long. RefSeq lists it as uncharacterized. Lineage: Eukaryota; Metazoa; Chordata; Mammalia; Rodentia; Cricetidae. The record is from RefSeq and is a predicted model, not a curated record. The transcript is spliced from 3 exons.